AUGCUUGUAUCCCUGCGCCCUCGCCUGCCCGCCGUCUCUUUCCUGCCUCAGGUGCUGGGCUGCCAUCUCUCUACUCAGAUUGCACAACGGCCUUCUGACAGAGCUAGACCUAUAACUGAUUACAAUGAGGUCACGCUGCAUUUCAUUAAGUGUGUACGGAUGCAUAUACAGAACACCAAAUCAAAGGUUGGCAGUCCCGCACACACCAAUUCUUCUGUAGGAACCCCAUUUUCCAAUAGCAUGAGCGAAGCAGCCACUCCAACCUUUGUGAAAUCCAACUCAAUAAGCUGCGCCGAGGUUGUCAGUGUCGCUCAAGGGAGACGCUGUUUUUGGCUGACACGACAUUGA
This 348-nucleotide ribosomal RNA is filed under the name Triticum aestivum (bread wheat). Its description in RNAcentral is "partial small subunit ribosomal RNA". Lineage: Eukaryota; Viridiplantae; Streptophyta; Magnoliopsida; Poales; Poaceae. The record is from RNAcentral.